CUGCCCAAUGAGGAUUUAAAUGGCCGCGGUAUUUUGACCGUGCAAAGGUAGCAUAAUCUAUAGUUUUUUAAUUGGAAGCUGGAAUGAAAGGUUGGAUGAGAAAAUAACUGUCUCUAUUUAAAUUAUUUAGAAUUUUAUUUUUAAGUUAGAAAGCUUAAAUAUAAAUGGAAGACGAGAAGACCCUAUAGAGUUUUAUAAAUUUUGAUUUAAAAAGUUUUUAGAAUUAAUAAAUUUUUAUAUUAAUAUUUAUUUAGUUGGGGUGAUUGAAAAAUUAAAAUAACUUUUUUUUAUUAAUUAUACAUUGAUUUAUGGGUAUAUGAUCCUUAAAUGAAGAUUAAAAGAAAUAAUUACCUUAGGGAUAACAGCGUAAUUUUUUUAAAGAGUUCAAAUCGAAAAAAAAGAUUGCGACCUCGAUGUUGGAUUAAAAUAAAAUUUUGGUGUAGGGGCUAAAGUAUUUGGGUCUGUUCGACCCUUAAAAUUUUACAUGAUCUGAGUUUAAACCGGUGU
RNAcentral lists this ribosomal RNA (507 nucleotides) under Rhinoscapha insignis. Its description in RNAcentral is "partial 16S ribosomal RNA". It matches the Rfam family "Bacterial large subunit ribosomal RNA", at positions 1859 to 2622 of the family's 2925-position model. The record is from RNAcentral. Lineage: Eukaryota; Metazoa; Arthropoda; Insecta; Coleoptera; Curculionidae.